CCUACGGGAGGCAGCAGUGGGGAAUAUUGGACAAUGGGGGCAACCCUGAUCCAGCAAUUCUGUGUGCACGAAGAAGGUUUUCGGAUUGUAAAGUGCUUUCAGCAGGGAAGAAGAAAGUGACGGUACCUGCAGAAGAAGCGACGGCUAAAUACGUGCCAGCAGCCGCGGUAAUACGUAUGUCGCAAGCGUUAUCCGGAAUUAUUGGGCAUAAAGGGCAUCUAGGCGGCCAGACAAGUCUGGGGUGAAAACUUGCGGCUCAACCGCAAGCCUGCCCUGGAAACUGUCUGGCUAGAGUGCUGGAGAGGUGGACGGAACUGCACGAGUAGAGGUGAAAUUCGUAGAUAUGUGCAGGAAUGCCGAUGAUGAAGAUAGUUCACUGGACGGCAACUGACGCUGAAGUGCGAAAGCUAGGGGAGCGAACAGGAUUAGAUACCCCAGUAGUC
This 443-nucleotide ribosomal RNA is filed under the name uncultured Leptotrichia sp. Its description in RNAcentral is "bacterial SSU rRNA". It matches the Rfam family "Bacterial small subunit ribosomal RNA", at positions 338 to 795 of the family's 1533-position model. Lineage: Bacteria; Fusobacteriati; Fusobacteriota; Fusobacteriia; Fusobacteriales; Leptotrichiaceae. The record is from RNAcentral.